Molecule: ribosomal RNA, 497 nt
Filed under: uncultured bacterium
Lineage: Bacteria
Description: partial 16S ribosomal RNA
Rfam family: Bacterial small subunit ribosomal RNA
Source: RNAcentral
GACGAACGCUGGCGGCGUGCCUAAUACAUGCAAGUCGAGCGAACGGACGAGAAGCUUGCUUCUCUGAUGUUAGCGGCGGACGGGUGAGUAACACGUGGAUAACCUACCUAUAAGACUGGGAUAACUUCGGGAAACCGGAGCUAAUACCGGAUGAUAUUUUGAACCGCAUGGUUCAAAAGUGAAAGACGGUCUUGCUGUCACUUAUCGAUGGAUCCGCGCUGCAUUAGCUAGUUGGUAAGGUAACGGCUUACCAAGGCAACGAUGCAUAGCCGACCUGAGAGGGUGAUCGGCCACACUGGAACUGAGACACGGUCCAGACUCCUACGGGAGGCAGCAGUAGGGAAUCUUCCGCAAUGGGCGAAAGCCUGACGGAGCAACGCCGCGUGAGUGAUGAAGGUCUUCGGAUCGUAAAACUCUGUUAUUAGGGAAGAACAUAUGUGUAAGUAACUGUGCACAUCUUGACGGUACCUAAUCAGAAAGCCACGGCUAACUACGUG